CUACGGGUGGCUCCAGUGGGGAAUAUUGCACAAUGGGCGCAAGCCUGAUGCAGCCAUGCCGCGUGUAUGAAGAAGGCCUUCGGGUUGUAAAGUACUUUCAGCGGGGAGGAAGGGAGUAAAGUUAAUACCUUUGCUCAUUGACGUUACCCGCAGAAGAAGCACCGGCUAACUCCGUGCCAGCAGCCGCGGUAAUACGGAGGGUGCAAGCGUUAAUCGGAAUUCCUGGGCGUAAAGCGCCCGCAGGCGGUUUGUUAAGUCAGAUGUGAAAUCCCCGGGCUCAACCUGGGAACUGCAUCUGAUACUGGCAAGCUUGAGUCUCGUAGAGGGGGGUAGAAUUCCAGGUGUAGCGGUGAAAUGCGUAGAGAUCUGGAGGAAUACCGGUGGCGAAGGCGGCCCCCUGGACGAAGACUGACGCUCAGGUGCGAAAGCGUGGGGAGCAAACAGGAUUAGAUACCCCUGUAGUC
Molecule: ribosomal RNA, 464 nt
Filed under: uncultured bacterium
Lineage: Bacteria
Description: partial 16S ribosomal RNA
Rfam family: Bacterial small subunit ribosomal RNA
Source: RNAcentral